UUAAAUUGAAGAGUUUGAUCAUGGCUCAGAUUGAACGCUGGCGGCAGGCCUAACACAUGCAAGUCGAACGGUAACAGGAAGCAGCUUGCUGCUUUGCUGACGAGUGGCGGACGGGUGAGUAAUGUCUGGGAAACUGCCUGAUGGAGGGGGAUAACUACUGGAAACGGUAGCUAAUACCGCAUAACGUCGCAAGACCAAA
Molecule: ribosomal RNA, 199 nt
Filed under: Escherichia coli
Lineage: Bacteria; Pseudomonadati; Pseudomonadota; Gammaproteobacteria; Enterobacterales; Enterobacteriaceae
Description: partial 16S ribosomal RNA
Rfam family: Bacterial small subunit ribosomal RNA
Source: RNAcentral